GGGGGUAUAGCUCAGUGGUAGAGCGUCCGCUUUGCAUGCGGAAAGUCAGGGGUUCAAACCCCCUUACCUCCA
This is a non-coding RNA of Bursaphelenchus xylophilus (pine wood nematode), 72 nucleotides long. The record is from Rfam. Lineage: Eukaryota; Metazoa; Nematoda; Chromadorea; Rhabditida; Aphelenchoididae.